RNAcentral lists this non-coding RNA (29 nucleotides) under Mus musculus (house mouse). Lineage: Eukaryota; Metazoa; Chordata; Mammalia; Rodentia; Muridae. The record is from RNAcentral.
UGNGACUUUGAGUUUGCCCCUAGAAUUCU